Molecule: ribosomal RNA, 253 nt
Filed under: uncultured bacterium
Lineage: Bacteria
Description: partial 16S ribosomal RNA
Rfam family: Bacterial small subunit ribosomal RNA
Source: RNAcentral
UACGUAGGGUGCGAGCGUUAAUCGGAAUUACUGGGCGUAAAGCGUGCGCAGGCGGUUCGUUAAGUUCGUUGUGAAAGCCCCGGGCUCAACCUGGGAAUGGCAAUGGAAACUGGCGGGCUGGAGUGCGGCAGAGGGGGGUGGAAUUCCGCGUGUAGCAGUGAAAUGCGCAGAUAUCAGGAGGAACACCGGUGGCGAAGGCGGGUCUCUGGGCCGAUACUGACGCUGAGGAGCGAAAGCGUGGGGAGCGAACAGG